This is a long non-coding RNA of Oreochromis niloticus (Nile tilapia), 526 nucleotides long. RefSeq lists it as uncharacterized. Lineage: Eukaryota; Metazoa; Chordata; Actinopteri; Cichliformes; Cichlidae. The transcript has 3 exons. The record is from RefSeq and is a predicted model, not a curated record.
UUGCAGUUCCUCAUUAUGUCUGUUUGGAGAUGUUGUGAUGAGUGAAUGAAGUCAGACUGUAGAUUUUCCUUCUUCUAGCUGUACUGACUGACCUUUGACCUCAUGUGUUGAUGACUCUUCACCUCUGUCUCCUCUCACAGGGAGAAGAUGAUCUGCAGGAUCCUGCUGCUCAUCAUCCUCACCUCAUGUGUCUCUGGAUCAUUUGUAGUCAAUGUGACACAGACCUGCUAUCAGGCAGAGGAGAACCACAACAAAAGGAAGAAUAUUAAUGAAUCUUACAAAAUGAAUUUAUAAGCAACAACAACCUCUCACCAGCUUGGAGGAUGGAAGAAAUUACAUUGAAGGUAAAAAUAAACAGUUCUGUUGUCUCCUUCCUGGUGGUUUGGGAGUUGUUUUUGUCACGCACCCGGUUCGAGGGACUCAGGGUUAUUAUUAUUAUUAUUGUUUUGGUUGUUGUUUGAGGGUUGUGUCUUCUGCACUGCUGCUGUCCUGUGUUUGUGUACUGUCAGGUGUGUAUGGGUGUGUG